AUUGAAAGACAGGCGGUGCGCCUAACUCAACUUUUUUUAAAAACUGUUUUGCUACAACUGGAAGCUUUCUGCAUAGGUGUGACGUGCUGGUGAGGAUUGGUGGGUUUUAGUUCCUUUGAUGAAUUUAAUUACAGUGUAUUCAGUGCAUGAGUUGAAUUGCAAGUUUAACCCACUAAUCGGAUUUUUUUUCACUGCUAACUGUUGAUGCCGCAACACCUAAAGGAGCGACUGUAGACUACUAAUCGCACCCUGACCUUUCAGUUUCUGUCUUUCAGGAAGAGCUUCAGUCUCCAAGGGUCAAGGAGCUAAACCAACCAAACAUGACUGUGGACCAUCAGGAGUACCAAAUGGACAAUGGAUGAAAAUCCCUAGACCUGAUUAUAUCGCAGGUGCUGGAGCAUCUAUGGGCACAAACACCAAAGGUUUUAGCACAGGAAGCCAAAUGUUCCCUGGACUCGGCAAUGGAUACGGAGCAGGUAAUAUUUGCUGGCAGUAAAUGUCUUGAUCACAAGACAUUUUUUUUUGUUUGUUCUCAGCUAAAGUGAGGAUACACUUUGAUAUUUUUCCUGUGUUCACUCAGGUUACGGACAAGGAGGCUACCUUGGAGCUGGAUAUGGGAAUGGACAUCCAUUUGGAGGUGAAAUUUUAAAUGGAAACGCUUUAAAUUAAGCACAUUGUAUUAGUGUGUAAGAUAAUGAAUAGUUAGGAAAGUUUACAUCUUUAAAAAUCUGCCAUUGUAAUUUUACUGAAAUAUUGUUGUUUCUCUCUGGAAAUGUUGGGCCAUAUUUUGACUGCCAUUGUUGGAUAUUAACAUCUAACAUAGUUUAUGUUUUGCUGCAGGUUAUGCAAAUGGCUACGGUGCAGGUGUACAGCCUGACUAUGCAAGUAAGAGCAUUUUAUGACAUUUAGUUGAGAAAUUUUGUUUUGCAGCAGUUAAUUUUUGUGUAAACUGCAACAUUUCUCUGUGUUUCCAGGCCUUGGACAAGGUGUGCCUGUUCCUGAUGGCAAAUCAGGUAUGGUAAUGAGUAAUAGAUGAGGGUGGGUAGUUAGUUAUAGCUAAAUAUAAGAUAAGGGUGAAGUAUAUUAGGUAAAUAUGACACAAAAGGUAAAAAUAUUCCACUGAUGCUGAUUGAACAGGUGGCACCAGACAAAUUCCAUACAAUGGAGCUCCAGUGGUUGCUGCUGGAGUAGAUGGUAAGACCAUGUCACCAUGGGAAAAACUGAUCUAAGCACGAGUGAGCAGAAUAUCAGACAGAGAAGAAAUCUCCUUUCUCCCAUGGAGUAA
Molecule: long non-coding RNA, 1285 nt
Filed under: Oreochromis niloticus (Nile tilapia)
Lineage: Eukaryota; Metazoa; Chordata; Actinopteri; Cichliformes; Cichlidae
Description: lncRNA (ENSONIG00000024377.2)
Source: RNAcentral